CCAGCUCCAAUAGCGUAUAUUAAAGUUGUUGCAGUUAAAAAGCUCGUAGUUGGAUUUCUGGCGUGGGGUCACUGUCCCGGCAUCCUAGUGGUGCUGUGUGUCGGCUGGCCUCUGCCAUCUUUUCGGAAUAACCAGCGUACCCUUCACUGGGCUGCGUUGGCGACUCCGAUCUUUUACUUUGAAAAAAUUAGAGUGUUCAAAGCAGGCUUUCCGCUGUGAAUACAUUAGCAUGGAAUAAUAACAUAGGACUUUCGUCUUAUUUUGUUGGUUUCUAGGAUGAGAGUAAUGAUUGAUAGGGAUAGUUGGGGGUGCUCGUAUUCAGGGGCCAGAGGUGAAAUUCUAUGAUUCCCUGAAGACGAACUUAUGCGAAAGCAUUCACCAAGGAUGUCUUCU
This 393-nucleotide ribosomal RNA is filed under the name uncultured Cercozoa. Its description in RNAcentral is "SSU rRNA". It matches the Rfam family "Eukaryotic small subunit ribosomal RNA", at positions 585 to 972 of the family's 1831-position model. The record is from RNAcentral. Lineage: Eukaryota; Cercozoa.